This 468-nucleotide ribosomal RNA is filed under the name uncultured bacterium. RNAcentral's name for it is "partial 16S ribosomal RNA". It matches the Rfam family "Bacterial small subunit ribosomal RNA", at positions 28 to 507 of the family's 1533-position model. The record is from RNAcentral.
GACGAACGCUGGCGGCGUGCUUAACACAUGCAAGUCGAACGGAAAGGCCCUGCUUUUGUGGGGUGCUCGAGUGGCGAACGGGUGAGUAACACGUGAGUAACCUGCCCUUGACUUUGGGAUAACUUCAGGAAACUGGGGCUAAUACCGGAUAGGAGCUCCUGCUGCAUGGUGGGGGUUGGAAAGUUUCGGCGGUUGGGGAUGGACUCGCGGCUUAUCAGCUUGUUGGUGGGGUAGUGGCUUACCAAGGCUUUGACGGGUAGCCGGCCUGAGAGGGUGACCGGCCACAAUGGGACUGAGGUACGGCCCAAGCCCCUUCGGGGGGGAAGAGGGGGGAAUUAUGGACAAAGGGCCGAAAGCUUAUGGAAGAACCGCGGGGUGCGGGAUACGGCCUUCGGGGUUGAAACCGCUUUCGCCUUGUGCGGAAGGGUAGGUAAGGUUAAUGGGUAAAGAACACCGGCUAACUUAGGG